CAGUAGCCGCGGUAAUACGUAGGUGGCAAGCGUUGUCCGGAAUUAUUGGGCGUAAAGGGCUCGCAGGCGGUUUCUUAAGUCUGAUGUGAAAGCCCCCGGCUCAACCGGGGAGGGUCAUUGGAAACUGGGAAACUUGAGUGCAGAAGAGGAGAGUGGAAUUCCACGUGUAACGGUGAAAUGCGUAGAGAUGUGGAGGAACACCAGUGGCGAAGGCGACUCUCUGGUCUGUAACUGACGCUGAGGAGCGAAAGCGUGGGGAGCGAACAGGAUUAGAUACCCCAGUAGUCCCUGUCUCUUAUAA
This 301-nucleotide ribosomal RNA is filed under the name uncultured bacterium. RNAcentral describes it as "partial 16S ribosomal RNA". It matches the Rfam family "Bacterial small subunit ribosomal RNA", at positions 509 to 809 of the family's 1533-position model. The record is from RNAcentral.